This 477-nucleotide ribosomal RNA is filed under the name uncultured soil bacterium. Its description in RNAcentral is "bacterial SSU rRNA". It matches the Rfam family "Bacterial small subunit ribosomal RNA", at positions 26 to 518 of the family's 1533-position model. The record is from RNAcentral.
AGGACGAACGCUGGCGGCGUGCUUAACACAUGCAAGUCGAGCGGUAAGGCCUUUCGGGGUACACGAGCGGCGAACGGGUGAGUAACACGUGGGUGAUCUGCCCUGCACUCUGGGAUAAGCCUGGGAAACUGGGUCUAAUACCGGAUAUGACCUGCUCUCGCAUGGGGGUGGGUGGAAAGAUUUAUCGGUGCAGGAUGGGCCCGCGGCCUAUCAGCUUGUUGGUGGGGUAAUGGCCUACCAAGGCGACGACGGGUAGCCGACCUGAGAGGGUGACCGGCCACACUGGGACUGAGACACGGCCCAGACUCCUACGGGAGGCAGCAGUGGGGAAUAUUGCACAAUGGGCGAAAAGCCUGAUGCAGCGACGCCGCGUGAGGAUGAAGGCCUUCGGUUGUAAACUCUUUCAGCAGGACGAAGCGCAAGUGACGGUACCUGCAGAAGAAAGACACCGGCGUAAACUAACGUGCUAGCAGCCGC